Molecule: ribosomal RNA, 467 nt
Filed under: uncultured bacterium
Lineage: Bacteria
Description: partial 16S ribosomal RNA
Rfam family: Bacterial small subunit ribosomal RNA
Source: RNAcentral
GACGAACGCUGGCGGCGUGCUUAACACAUGCAAGUCGAACGGAAAGGCCCUGCUUUUGUGGGGUGCUCGAGUGGCGAACGGGUGAGUAACACGUGAGUAACCUGCCCUUGACUUUGGGAUAACUUCAGGAAACUGGGGCUAAUACCGGAUAGGAGCUCCUGCUGCAUGGUGGGGGUUGGAAAGUUUCGGCGGUUGGGGAUGGACUCGCGGCUUAUCAGCUUGUUGGUGGGGUAGUGGCUUACCAAGGCUUUGACGGGUAGCCGGCCUGAGAGGGUGACCGGCCACAUUGGGACUGGGAGACGGCCCAGACUCCUACGGGAGGCAGCAGUGGGGAAUAUUGCACAAUGGGCGGAAGCCGGAGGCAGCAACGCCGCGUGCGGGAUGACGGCCUUCGGGUUGUAAACCGCUUUCGCCUGUGACGAAGCGUGAGGGACGGGAAUGGGGAAAGAAGCACCGGCUAACUACGU